RNAcentral lists this unclassified non-coding RNA (395 nucleotides) under soil metagenome. Its description in RNAcentral is "partial contains 5.8S ribosomal RNA, internal transcribed spacer 2, and large subunit ribosomal RNA". The stretch from base 1 to 122 matches the Rfam family "5.8S ribosomal RNA", at positions 35 to 154 of the family's 154-position model. The record is from RNAcentral.
GAUGAAGAACGCAGCGAAAUGCGAUACUUGGUGUGAAUUGCAGAAUCCCGUGAACCAUCGAGUCUUUGAACGCAAGUUGCGCCCGAAGCCAUCAGGUUGAGGGCACGUCUGCCUGGGCGUCACAUAUCCUUGCCCAAUGCCUAUUGCAGUGCAAUAGGAAUUUCUAGGGCGAAUGAUGGCUUCCCGUGAGCGUUGUUGCCUCGCGGUUGGUUGAAAAUCGAGUCCUUGGUAGGGUGUGCCAUGGUAGAUGGUGGUCGAGUUAGAACGAUACCGAUCAUGUGCAUGCUCCCCAAAAUAUGGCCUCUAUGACCCACACGCGUCUUUUGACGCUCAUGACGAGACCUCAGGUCAGGCGGGGCUACCCGCUGAAUUUAAGCAUAUCAAUAAGCGGAGGA